CCACAGCGAGGAUAGUGGUAUGGCCUUUGCUCAAGGAUGACAUGCAAAUUGGUGAAGUGUUCCAUUUUUUU
Molecule: small nuclear RNA, 71 nt
Filed under: Pongo abelii (Sumatran orangutan)
Lineage: Eukaryota; Metazoa; Chordata; Mammalia; Primates; Hominidae
Source: RNAcentral